UAAUUUAAAGCUUAUUUAGUAAAGUAUUUCAUUUACAUUGAAAAGAAAUUUGUGCAAAUCAAUUUAAAUUAA
This 72-nucleotide transfer RNA is filed under the name Coquillettidia perturbans. Its description in RNAcentral is "tRNA-Val". It matches the Rfam family "tRNA". From Rfam's summary of the family: Transfer RNA (tRNA) molecules are approximately 80 nucleotides in length. Their secondary structure includes four short double-helical elements and three loops (D, anti-codon, and T loops). Lineage: Eukaryota; Metazoa; Arthropoda; Insecta; Diptera; Culicidae. The record is from RNAcentral. RNAcentral also lists the same sequence under 5 other names.